Molecule: ribosomal RNA, 401 nt
Filed under: uncultured Streptococcus sp.
Lineage: Bacteria; Bacillati; Bacillota; Bacilli; Lactobacillales; Streptococcaceae
Description: bacterial SSU rRNA
Rfam family: Bacterial small subunit ribosomal RNA
Source: RNAcentral
AGGUCUUGACAUCCCGAUGCUAUUCUAGAGAUAGAAGUUACUUCGGUACAUCGGUGACAGGUGGUGCAUGGUUGUCGUCAGCUCGUGUCGUGAGAUGUUGGGUUAAGUCCCGCAACGAGCGCAACCCCUAUUGUUAGUUGCCAUCAUUCAGUUGGGCACUCUAGCGAGACUGCCGGUAAUAAACCGGAGGAAGUGGGAUGACGUCAAAUCAUCAUGCCCCUUAUGACCUGGGCUACACACGUGCUACAAUGGUUGGUACAACGAGUUGCGAGUCGGUGACGGCGAGCUAAUCUCUUAAAGCCAAUCUCAGUUCGGAUUGUAGGCUGCAACUCGCCUACAUGAAGUCGGAAUCGCUAGUAAUCGCGGACCAGCACGCCGCGGUGAAUACGUUCCCGGGCCUU